GACGAACGCUGGCGGCGUGCUUAAUACAUGCAAGUCGAGCGAGGUUACUGUUUUGGAUCCCUUCGGGGUGAAGAAGCUUUAACCUAGCGGCGGACGGGUGAGUAACGCGUGGGUAACCUACCCCAAAGUCCGGGAUAACAGCGGGAAACCGCUGCUAAUACCGGAUGUCUUUACCUUGGGGCAUCUUGAGGUAAAGAAAGGCAACGCUUUGGGAUGGGCCCGCGUCCCAUUAGCUAGUUGGUGAGGUAACGGCUCACCAAGGCGACGAUGGGUAGCCGGCCUGAGAGGGUGGACGGCCACACUGGGACUGAGACACGGCCCAGACUCCUACGGGAGGCAGCAGUAGGGAAUAUUGCGCAAUGGACGGAAGUCUGACGCAGCGACGCCGCGUGAGCGAUGAAGGUCUUCGGAUCGUAAAGCUCUGUCCUUGGGGAAGAAGGUCUUCGGACUUGACGGUACCCAAGAAGAAAGCCCCGGCUAACUACGUG
RNAcentral lists this ribosomal RNA (488 nucleotides) under uncultured bacterium. Its description in RNAcentral is "bacterial SSU rRNA". It matches the Rfam family "Bacterial small subunit ribosomal RNA", at positions 28 to 507 of the family's 1533-position model. The record is from RNAcentral.